UACAGAGGUCUCAAGCGUUGUUCGGAUUCAUUGGGCGUAAAGGGUGCGUAGGCGGCGCGGUAAGUCGGGUGUGAAAUCUCGGGGCUUAACUCCGAAACUGCAUUCGAUACUGCCGUGCUUGAGGACUGGAGAGGAGACUGGAAUUUACGGUGUAGCGGUGAAAUGCGUAGAGAUGUGGAGGAACACCGAUGGCGAAGGCAGCCCCCUGGGCCAACACUGACGCUCAGGCACGAAAGCGUGGGGAGCAAACAGG
RNAcentral lists this ribosomal RNA (253 nucleotides) under uncultured bacterium. Its description in RNAcentral is "partial 16S ribosomal RNA". It matches the Rfam family "Bacterial small subunit ribosomal RNA", at positions 524 to 776 of the family's 1533-position model. The record is from RNAcentral.